AACGAACGCUGGCGGCAUGCCUAACACAUGCAAGUCGAACGGAGUUUAAAUGGAAGCUUGCGAAAUUUAAACUUAGUGGCGGACGGGUGAGUAACGCGUGGAUAACCUGCCCAUAAAGCCGGGAUAACGCCGGGAAACUGGUGCUAAUACCGGAUACGCUCCGAGUAGCGCAUGCUACAUGGAGGAAAGGCGAAAGCCGAUUAUGGAAGGGUCCGCGUCCCAUUAGCUAGUUGGAGGUGUAAAGACCACCAAGGCGACGAUGGGUAGCCGGCCUGAGAGGGCGAACGGCCACACUGGGACUGAGACACGGCCCAGACUCCUACGGGAGGCAGCAGUGGGGAAUCUUCCGCAAUGGGCGAAAGCCUGACGGAGCAACGCCGCGUGAGUGACGAAGGCCUUCGGGUCGUAAAACUCUGUCUAUGGGGAAGAAACAAAUGACGGUACCCAAGGAGGAAGCCCCGGCUAACUACGUG
Molecule: ribosomal RNA, 473 nt
Filed under: uncultured bacterium
Lineage: Bacteria
Description: bacterial SSU rRNA
Rfam family: Bacterial small subunit ribosomal RNA
Source: RNAcentral